RNAcentral lists this long non-coding RNA (1361 nucleotides) under Pelobates cultripes (western spadefoot toad). Lineage: Eukaryota; Metazoa; Chordata; Amphibia; Anura; Pelobatidae. The record is from RNAcentral.
UAUACAUGGGGUAUAUAAGGGUAUAUAGUGUAUACAUGGGGUAUAUACAGUGUAUAUAAGGGAUACAUACAAUGUAUACAUGGGGUAUAUAAGGGGUAUAUAUAGUGUAUAUAAGGGGUAUAUACAGUAUAUACAUUGGGUAUAUAAGGGUAUAUAGUGUAUACAUGGGGUAUAUACAGUAUAUACAUGGGGUAUAUAAGGGGUAUACAGUGUAUACAUGGGGUAUAUAAGGGUAUAUAGUGUAUACAUGGGGUAUAUACAGCGUAUAUAAGGGGUACAUACAAUAUAUACAUGGGGUAUAUAAGGGGUGUAUACAUGGGGUAUAUAAGGGGUAUAUAUAGUGUAUAUAAGGGGUAUAUACAGUAUAUACAUGGGGUAUAUAAGGGUAUAUAGUGUAUACAUGGGGUAUAUACAUGGGGUAUAUAAGGGGUAUACAGUGUAUACAUGGGGUAUAUACAGCGUAUAUAUACAUGGGGUAUAUAAGGGGUGUAUACAUGGGGUAUAAAAGGGGUAUAUAUAGUGUAUAUACGGGGUGUAUACAGUGUAUACAUGGGGUAUAUAAGGGGUAUACAGUGUAUACAUGGGGUAUAUAAGGGUAUACAGUGUAUACAUGGGGUAUAUACAGUGUAUAUAAGGGGUACAUACAAUGUAUACAUGGGGUAUAUAAGGGGUGUAUACAUGGGAUAUAAAAGGGGUAUAUAUAGUGUAUACAUGGGGUAUAUAAGGGGUAUAUAUAUAGUUUAUAUAAGGGGUAUAUACAGUGUAUACAUGGGGUAUAUAAGGGGCAUAUACAUGGGUAUAUAAGAGGUAUAUAUAGUGUAUACAAGGGGUAUAUAAGUGAUAUAUACAUGGGGUAUAUAAGGGGUAUACAGUGUAUACAUGGGGUAUAUAAGGGUAUAUAGUGUAUACAUGGGGUAUAUACAGUGUAUAUAAGGGGUACAUACAAUGUAUACAUGGGGUAUAUAAGGGGUGUAUACAUGGGAUAUAAAAGGGGUAUAUAUAGUGUAUACAUGGGGUAUAUACAGUGUAUACAUGGGGUAUAUAAGGGGUAUAUAUAUAGUUUAUAUAAGGGGUAUAUACAGUGAAUACAUGGGGUAUAUAAGGGGCGUAUACAUGGGGUAUAUAAGGGGUAUAUACAGUGUAUACAUGGGGUAUAUAAGGGGUAUACAGUGUAUACAUGGGGUAUAUAAGGGUAUAUAGUGUAUACAUGGGGUAUAUACAGUGUAUAUAAGGGAUACAUACAAUGUAUACAUGGGGUAUAUAAGGGGUGUAUAUAUAGUGUAUAUAAGGGGUAUAUACAGUAUAUACAUGGGGUAUAUAAGGGUAUAUAGUGUAUACAUGGGGUAUAUACAGUAUAUACA